CAUACUUCUACCACCGCAGGUAAAUAGCUGUUUAAAACAGUAUAUUUAGAAACGUUUUUCUGUGUUUAGAUUUUGUUGAACAUUUUUAGAAAUUGGCUGCGUUUAUCUGGAGCUCAUAUACUUGGAUCUGCGAAUUUUUAUGCAGAUUCCUUUUUAUAUGUACCUUGGAUGAAAGAAUAUCAUGUCUGACAACAUCACAUUUUUCGUCAAGGGCCACGCAAACUCUACAUCGGAAGUACUGACAAUGAAUAAGAAUGACGAAUUUUUCACCGUGUUUCAACAUCUAGCUUCACGAUCAGGGGUGGAUUUAGAAACUAUUAGAAUCCUCAUCGGUGGAAAAGAAUAUCGAUUCGAUCAAGAAGAAGUGAGGAAGAAAAUAAAAGACGUUGGUAUUGAAAACAAACACACAAUAUUUAUGGUUGUAAGACUGAAAGGUGGAUAUGAAUAUUCACCAUCACAUUAUCAUUCUUGUCUGGUUACCCAACGAACAUUCAUUCGUUACCAGAACAAUGAAUGACAGUAUUUAUUAAUGAGAACUGAUUCCAAACAUCCCAUUAUUAAUUGUAUCAUUCAGAAUCGAAUUUUUCGGGUUGUGAAUUGUAUGUUUACUAAAACUGCGAUUAAGCAUUUUCAUGCAGAUGAACCAAAAUGGCGUCAUACAGAUCUAUCUAUCGAGGAAAAUCAACGGUACUUGUAACAUACAUGUCAGCAAGAGUGCUUUACUAAACAAGCGACUCCAUAAAAUCUUGGGAAGACGAUAUUGGUUUGAAAUCACCACCGCUAUUGUUGUGGAAAUGACAUCAGUUUAUUUAGUAAAUUCAAAAAUUUCAUGUGUGAUACUCGACAGAAAGGAUACCUUCAUGAUUAGCUCCAAAUUGCGAUUGAUCAAGGUCAGCUACAAAAUUGAAAAAUGUGUACCCCUUUCCCCUUUGUCUAACGUAAGAAAUACAAGACGGUCCAUCAAAUAGCCAUAUGCUGGAUCAAUUGGGGCACAAUUAAUAGCCACUGUAUGUAUGUCGUCAUAACAUGGCAUGAAAAAAUGGGUAUGGGACUAUCGUGAAAACAUCUGCAUUAACACCUUUGACUUAGAAUAAGUUGAUUGAUUUUCAAAUCAAUACAAUCGAUGUUGAAUUGUGUAAAGCCUCAUUAAAACGAUUCACACCCAUUGACUUAACUUGCAUGUUAUACAAAUGAAAACAUCCUUUUUUGUGUAUACUGAGGGUACACUAAUUACGUUGUUAGAUAAAUAAUUAUUAGGUACGCUCCACGAUCAGUUAUUUUAUUGCUGUACUAGUUUAUCAUGUUCUUUGUAUGCGUAUAUUUAAACACAUGUCACUCAUCUAUUAACUGUAUUUGACAAUAUAUGAUAUUUUGUUAUCUGAGAAUGUUCAUGUUCAAAUGAAAGGCAUUACCAAGUUUUACGUUGACAAUUCAUGUCAGCUUUAAUAUAAAUGUAUUUCCCAAAACAUGGUUUUAUUUGACUUCGUAUUAUCUCAUUGCUACCCUCUCAGUGUUGAUUCAAUACAAAAUAUUCAAAAUAUUUACCUAUCGAUAGAGUUUAUCAAGAUAUAGGAUUAUUUUUUUUUAUUUUACCACCUGUUGAACUCCUGUAAAUGUCAGAUUACAAAGUGUCAGGUGUUUUGUCAAAAUGAUUUUUAUCAACACUUGUUAUAAACGUUGUCGUUUUUAAAAAAAAUGAUGAAAAUGUAAAGUAAAUGUAUGUUUUCAUAAAAUGUAUUCAAUUUAUCGUAUGGAAUAUAUUUCAUUUCCGUCAUUAUGUCCCCCAACUAUCGGUCAGUCGAUCUGUAGACCAAGUCUUGCCAACUCGAUAUCUUAAAAACACUUCGCUUGAUAGACAUUACACUUGGUACAGCGGUACACCUGCAGAAAUACAUUACCCCAAUAUAUCUUGAGGCCAUGUGGACAAAGGUCAAUACACAUUUUAUAUAGGAAGAUAUUGUAUGUUCAAUAUUUGGAGAACCCUUACUUUGACAUAUAUCAAAGUUGGUACACUGGUACAUCGUCAGGAGUAGAUAAACUUUAUUGAUUUUGGAUUCACAUGGAUAAAUGAAACAAAAAUAACAUAUUUUGCAUUUUUGGAUUCCGUUAUUUAUUCAUUAUUUAUUAUUAUUUCCAUCAUUUAUAAUAUCCAUAAUUAGUUCCCAAAUAAUUUCUUUAAACGUUAUAACUAUUUUUGAACAAUUUUGAUUUAUUUACUCCUCUAUUCUAUCUUUUUAUUCUAUCUUUUAUCACAGUUUAACAUUAGUUAUACACAUUCACACACCCAGGUACGAACUACUUAUAAUUAGCAAACCUACAGUACAUGUACACUGAUUACUUAACCCGUUCUUUGCUUCUGAAGUAAUCUAGUUAAGUUCAUUUAGUUCAGUUCUCUUGACUUUCGUUCAUAAAGACGCUGAACUCGAUAAUUUGAACGUGUGGAGGUUUUGUUUGUUCUCAGGUUGUGCAGCUUAGUUUUUAUGCUAGUUUGUGUUAUUAUUUUAUUUAGUUAGUUUUCAUUUCUUAUAAAUUUAUUUUGUCGUCCUGAAGAGGGGAGAGGUCGUCCCGAAAACUUGGACAAUUUCAUAUUGUUUGUAUUGUUAUAUAUGAUUAUGUAAUUACAUCAUUAAUUAAAUAUGAAUCAUUUGUA
Ostrea edulis (European flat oyster) is the source of this 2650-nucleotide long non-coding RNA. RefSeq lists it as uncharacterized. NCBI's taxonomy places the organism in Eukaryota, Metazoa, Mollusca, Bivalvia, Ostreida, Ostreidae. The record is from RefSeq and is a predicted model, not a curated record. The transcript has 2 exons.